UGCCCAGCAACUCCUAUCCCUACCUCCUCGUGGUACUGGCCGGGGUACGAGUUACCUUGGGGGAAGA
Molecule: ribozyme, 67 nt
Filed under: Aedes aegypti (yellow fever mosquito)
Lineage: Eukaryota; Metazoa; Arthropoda; Insecta; Diptera; Culicidae
Description: drz-agam-1 ribozyme
Rfam family: drz-agam-1 ribozyme
Source: Rfam by way of RNAcentral